UAACGUCGAGAAAUCGGCGCUAAUACCUCAUAAUGCAGCGGAUCCGCAUGGAUAUGUUGUUAAAGGUUUACCGCCUUGGGAUAGGCUUGCGUCUGAUUAGUUAGUUGGUGUGGUAACGGCACACCAAGGCUACGAUCAGUAACUGGUCUGAGAGGAUGAUCAGUCACACUGGAACUGAGACACGGUCCAGACUCCUACGGGAGGCAGCAGUGAGGAAUAUUGGGCAAUGCUCGAAAGAGUGACCCAGCAACGCCGCGUGGAGGAUGAAGGUAUUCUAUAUCGUAAACUCCUGUGAGAGCAGACGAAAGACCAGAUUAUUAAUCUGGAUGACUGUAUGCUCAGAGGAAGCCCCGGCUAACUACGUG
This 365-nucleotide ribosomal RNA is filed under the name uncultured bacterium. RNAcentral describes it as "bacterial SSU rRNA". It matches the Rfam family "Bacterial small subunit ribosomal RNA", at positions 144 to 507 of the family's 1533-position model. The record is from RNAcentral.